UACAGAGGGUGCAAGCGUUAAUCGGAAUUACUGGGCGUAAAGCGUGCGCAGACGGUUGCGUAAGUCAGAUGUGAAAGCCCCGGGCUCAACCUGGGAAUUGCAUUUGAGACUGCGUAGCUAGGGCGCGGAAGAGGGAAGCGGAAUUUCCGGUGUAGCGGUGAAAUGCGUAGAUAUCGGAAGGAACACCAGUGGCGAAAGCGGCUUCCUGGUCCAGCACCGACGUUCAGGCACGAAAGCGUGGGGAGCAAACAGG
This 253-nucleotide ribosomal RNA is filed under the name uncultured bacterium. Its description in RNAcentral is "partial 16S ribosomal RNA". It matches the Rfam family "Bacterial small subunit ribosomal RNA", at positions 524 to 776 of the family's 1533-position model. The record is from RNAcentral.